GGAGAGGUAUCGAAGCGGUCAUAACGAGGCGGUCUUGAAAACCGUUUGACGGAAACGUCACAUGGGUUCGAAUCCCAUCCUCUCCGCCA
This 89-nucleotide transfer RNA is filed under the name Oscillospiraceae bacterium. RNAcentral describes it as "tRNA-Ser". It matches the Rfam family "tRNA". Rfam says of the family: Transfer RNA (tRNA) molecules are approximately 80 nucleotides in length. Lineage: Bacteria; Bacillati; Bacillota; Clostridia; Eubacteriales; Oscillospiraceae. RNAcentral also lists the same sequence under 2 other names. The record is from RNAcentral.